UUAAGCAGCAGGCGCGUAAAUUACCCAAUUCUGAUACGGAGAGGUAGUGACGAGAAAUAGCAAGGCGCGGCCCUUCGGGUUGUGCUAUUGCAAUGAGUGCGAUGUAAAGUUCCCAACGAGGAUCCAUUGGAGGGCAAGUCUGGUGCCAGCAGCCGCGGUAAUUCCAGCUCCAAUAGCGUAUACUAACGUUGUUGCAGUUAAAAAGCUCGUAGUUGAAUGUGUGGUGGGUGUUGACCGUGUCUGUACCUUGUGUACUGUUUCACAGUGUCAACGCUUGCUAUUCUGGAAAGAGUAAUCUUUCCUCA
This 305-nucleotide ribosomal RNA is filed under the name uncultured Favia-associated stramenopile. Its description in RNAcentral is "bacterial SSU rRNA". It matches the Rfam family "Eukaryotic small subunit ribosomal RNA", at positions 421 to 726 of the family's 1831-position model. The record is from RNAcentral.